This 65-nucleotide transfer RNA is filed under the name Otolemur garnettii (small-eared galago). It matches the Rfam family "tRNA", at positions 5 to 66 of the family's 71-position model. Rfam says of the family: Transfer RNA (tRNA) molecules are approximately 80 nucleotides in length. Their secondary structure includes four short double-helical elements and three loops (D, anti-codon, and T loops). The record is from Rfam by way of RNAcentral. Lineage: Eukaryota; Metazoa; Chordata; Mammalia; Primates; Galagidae.
CUGUGGCUCAAAGGAUAGGGCGCCGGCCUCGUGUGCUGGAGGUGGGGGGUUCAAACCCACCCCAG